UCAUAGGCGUGUCUCAAAGAUUAAGCCAUGCAUGUCUAAGUACAUGCCUAAACUAAGGCGAAACCGCGAAUGGCUCAUUACAUCAGUUGUGGUUCCUUGGACGUGUCCCUUUUACUUGGAUAACUGUGGUAAUUCUAGAGCUAAUACAUGCAGCAAAGCCCCGACCUCGCGGGACGGGCGCAUUUAUUAGGCCAAGACCAAUCGGGCCCCCUCGCGGGGCCCGUCAAGUUAUGGCGACUCUGGAUAACCUCGGGCUGAUCGCACGGUCGCGAACCGGCGACGCAUCCUUCAAGUGUCUGCCUUAUCAACUUUCGAUGGUAGGUUACGCGCCUACCAUGGUUGUAACGGGUGACGGGGAAUCAGGGUUCGAUUCCGGAGAGGGAGCCUGAGAAACGGCUACCACAUCCAAGGAAGGCAGCAGGCGCGCAAAUUACCCACUCCCGGCACGGGGAGGUAGUGACGAAAAAUAACAAUACGGGACUCUUUCGAGGCCUCGUAAUUGGAAUGGGUACAGUCUAAACCCUUUAACGAGUAUCCAUUGGAGGGCAAGUCUGGUGCCAGCAGCCGCGGUAAUUCCAGCUCCAAUAGCGUAUAUUAAAGUUGUUGCUGUUAAAAAGCUCGUAGUUGGAUCUCAGUUCCAGACUGGCGGUCCGCCUUCUGGCGGCUACUGCUUGGCCUGAACAUUCUGCUGGAUUUCCCUUGGUGCUCUUUACCGGGUGUCUCGGGUGGCCGGCACGUUUACUUUGAAAAAAUUAGAGUGCUCAAAGCAGGCUGAGUGCCUGGAUAAUGGUGCAUGGAAUAAUGGAAUAGGACCUCGGUUCUAUUUUGUUGGUUUUCGGAACACGAGAUAAUGAUUAAGAGGGACAGACGGGGGCAUUCGUAUUGCGACGCUAGAGGUGAAAUUCUUGGACCGUCGCAAGACGAGCUACUGCGAAAGCAUUUGCCAAGAAUGUCUUCGUUAAUCAAGAACGAAAGUUAGAGGUUCGAAGGCGAUCAGAUACCGCCCUAGUUCUAACCAUAAACGAUGCCAACCAGCGAUCCGCCGGCGUUCUUCCAAUGACUCGGCGGGCAGCUUCCGGGAAACCAAAGUUUUUGGGUUCAGGGGGAAGUAUGGUUGCAAAGCUGAAACUUAAAGGAAUUGACGGAAGGGCACCACCAGGAGUGGAGCCUGCGGCUUAAUUUGACUCAACACGGGAAAACUUACCCGGCCCGGACACCGGAAGGAUUGACAGAUUGAGAGCUCUUUCUUGAUUCGGUGGGUGGUGGUGCAUGGCCGUUCUUAGUUGGUGGAGCGAUUUGUCUGGUUAAUUCCGAUAACGAACGAGACUCUAGCCUACUAAAUAGUCGACCGAUCUCGUCCGUCGGUCGAUUCUUCUUAGAGGGACAAGCGGCUUUUAGCCGCACGAGACAGAGCAAUAACAGGUCUGUGAUGCCCUUCGAUGCCCGGGGCCGCACGCGCGCUACACUGAAGGAACCAGCGUGCAUUUACCCCUGUCCGGUAGGACUGGGUAACCCGAUGAGUCUUCUUCGUGAUAGGGAUAGGGGCUUGUAAUUGUUCCCCUUGAACGAGGAAUUCCCAGUAAGCGCGAGUCAUAAGCUCGCGUUGAUUACGUCCCUGCCCUUUGUACACACCGCCCGUCGCUACUACCGAUUGAAUGAUUUAGUGAGGUCUUCGGACCGUUGCCCGGGGCGGCUUCGCGUCGCAUCGGUGUGAUGGAAAGAUGAUCAAACUUGAUCAUUUAGAGGAAGUAAAAGUCGUAACAAGGUUUCC
Molecule: ribosomal RNA, 1771 nt
Filed under: Eukoenenia florenciae
Lineage: Eukaryota; Metazoa; Arthropoda; Arachnida; Palpigradi; Eukoeneniidae
Description: SSU rRNA
Rfam family: Eukaryotic small subunit ribosomal RNA
Source: RNAcentral